RNAcentral lists this ribosomal RNA (458 nucleotides) under uncultured bacterium. Its description in RNAcentral is "partial 16S ribosomal RNA". It matches the Rfam family "Bacterial small subunit ribosomal RNA", at positions 28 to 507 of the family's 1533-position model. The record is from RNAcentral.
GGUGAACGCUGGCGGCGUGCUUAAGACAUGCAAGUCGAACGGGCUCUUCGGAGCCAGUGGCGCACGGGUGAUUAACGCGUAACUGACCUACCCCAAAGUCGCGGAUAACGAUUCGAAAGAAUCGCUAAUUCGUGAUGUGCUGUCAGAUCCUGUUCUGCCAGUAAAGAUUUAUUGCUUUGGGAUGGGGUUGCGUUCCAUCAGCUAGUUGGUGGGGUAAAGGCCCACUAAGGCGACGACGGAUCGCCGGCCUGAGAGGGUGGCCGGCCACAGGGGCACUGAGACACGGGUCCCACUCCUACGGGAGGCAGCAGUUAGGAAUCUUCCACAAUGGGCGAAAGCCUGAUGGAGCGACGCCGCGUGAGGGAUGAAGGUCUUCGGAUCGUAAACCUCUGAAUCAGGGACGAAAGACGCGAAAGCGGGAUGACGGUACCUGAGUAAUAGCACCGGCUAACUCCGUG